GUUAUAUGGUCAAGUGAAGAAGCGCAUACGGUGGAUGCCUUGGCAGUCAGAGGCGAUGAAAGACGUGGUAGCCUGCGAAAAGCUUUGGGGAGUCGGCAAACAGACUGUGAUCCAGAGAUCUCUGAAUGGGGGAACCCAGCCAGCAUAAGCUGGUUAUCUUGUACUGAAUACAUAGGUGCAAGAGGCGAACCAGGGGAACUGAAACAUCUAAGUACCCUGAGGAAAAGAAAUCAACCGAGAUUCCCUUAGUAGUGGCGAGCGAACGGGGACCAGCCCUUAAGUUGGUUUGAGAUUAGUGGAACGCUCUGGAAAGUGCGGCCAUAGUGGGUGAUAGCCCUGUACACGAAAAUCUCUUAUCAAUGAAAUCGAGUAGGACGGAGCACGAGAA
RNAcentral lists this ribosomal RNA (388 nucleotides) under Pseudomonas fulva. RNAcentral describes it as "partial 23S ribosomal RNA". It matches the Rfam family "Bacterial large subunit ribosomal RNA", at positions 1 to 430 of the family's 2925-position model. The record is from RNAcentral. Lineage: Bacteria; Pseudomonadati; Pseudomonadota; Gammaproteobacteria; Pseudomonadales; Pseudomonadaceae.